RNAcentral lists this long non-coding RNA (367 nucleotides) under Canis lupus dingo (dingo). Its description in RNAcentral is "lncRNA (ENSCAFG00020013804.1)". The record is from RNAcentral. Lineage: Eukaryota; Metazoa; Chordata; Mammalia; Carnivora; Canidae.
GCCAAAGAUCACGCCCACGUGCAAGGAUGCUCGGCGGGAGGCUGGGCUUCUAGCGUCCGGGCCGGUCCUCCCAGCUGCGGCCGCAGGCCCACGCCCCGUCCUUGCCCACACCUCCGCCCGCCGACCCAGGACACGUCUUUCCUCCGCUCCCUCGGGAUUUCAGCCCUCUGCUGGACCUGACGUCAGGAAGAACUUGAUCUUGCCUGCUUCGCUCCUGCUUCUGAAACUGAUCCUUGAAAUGAGAGAACAGACUCUACACAAUUCCCAUGGCCUUGACAUAAGGUCUCCCUAUACUAAUCUGAAGUUUAAUGGGCUCGUGGUUCCCCUACUCCCAAGUGGAGGAAGAACUUUCCUGUCCACACUUUGA